This 2911-nucleotide ribosomal RNA is filed under the name Escherichia coli. RNAcentral's name for it is "23S ribosomal RNA". It matches the Rfam family "Bacterial large subunit ribosomal RNA". Lineage: Bacteria; Pseudomonadati; Pseudomonadota; Gammaproteobacteria; Enterobacterales; Enterobacteriaceae. The record is from RNAcentral.
GGUUAAGCGACUAAGCGUACACGGUGGAUGCCCUGGCAGUCAGAGGCGAUGAAGGACGUGCUAAUCUGCGAUAAGCGUCGGUAAGGUGAUAUGAACCGUUAUAACCGGCGAUUUCCGAAUGGGGAAACCCAGUGUGUUUCGACACACUAUCAUUAACUGAAUCCAUAGGUUAAUGAGGCGAACCGGGGGAACUGAAACAUCUAAGUACCCCUGAGGAAAAGAAAUCAACCGAGAUUCCCCCAGUAGCGGCGAGCGAACGGGGAGCAGCCCAGAGCCUGAAUCAGUGUGUGUGUUAGUGGAAGCGUCUGGAAAGGCGCGCGAUACAGGGUGACAGCCCCGUACACAAAAAUGCACAUAUUGUGAGCUCGAUGAGUAGGGCGGGACACGUGGUAUCCUGUCUGAAUAUGGGGGGACCAUCCUCCAAGGCUAAAUACUCCUGACUGACCGAUAGUGAACCAGUACCGUGAGGGAAAGGCGAAAAGAACCCCGGCGAGGGGAGUGAAAAAGAACCUGAAACCGUGUACGUACAAGCAGUGGGAGCACAGAGCAAUCUGUGUGACUGCGUACCUUUUGUAUAAUGGGUCAGCGACUUAUAUUCUGUAGCAAGGUUAACCGAAUAGGGGAGCCGAAGGGAAACCGAGUCUUAACUGGGCGUUAAGUUGCAGGGUAUAGACCCGAAACCCGGUGAUCUAGCCAUGGGCAGGUUGAAGGUUGGGUAACACUAACUGGAGGACCGAACCGACUAAUGUUGAAAAAUUAGCGGAUGACUUGUGGCUGGGGGUGAAAGGCCAAUCAAACCGGGAGAUAGCUGGUUCUCCCCGAAAGCUAUUUAGGUAGCGCCUCGUGAAUUCAUCUCCGGGGGUAGAGCACUGUUUCGGCAAGGGGGUCAUCCCGACUUACCAACCCGAUGCAAACUGCGAAUACCGGAGAAUGUUAUCACGGGAGACACACGGCGGGUGCUAACGUCCGUCGUGAAGAGGGAAACAACCCAGACCGCCAGCUAAGGUCCCAAAGUCAUGGUUAAGUGGGAAACGAUGUGGGAAGGCCCAGACAGCCAGGAUGUUGGCUUAGAAGCAGCCAUCAUUUAAAGAAAGCGUAAUAGCUCACUGGUCGAGUCGGCCUGCGCGGAAGAUGUAACGGGGCUAAACCAUGCACCGAAGCUGCGGCAGCGACGCUUAUGCGUUGUUGGGUAGGGGAGCGUUCUGUAAGCCUGUGAAGGUGUGCUGUGAGGCAUGCUGGAGGUAUCAGAAGUGCGAAUGCUGACAUAAGUAACGAUAAAGCGGGUGAAAAGCCCGCUCGCCGGAAGACCAAGGGUUCCUGUCCAACGUUAAUCGGGGCAGGGGUGAGUCGACCCCUAAGGCGAGGCCGAAAGGCGUAGUCGAUGGGAAACAGGUUAAUAUUCCUGUACUUGGUGUUACUGCGAAGGGGGACGGAGAAGGCUAUGUUGGCCGGGCGACGGUUGUCCCGGUUUAAGCGUGUAGGCUGGUUUUCCAGGCAAAUCCGGAAAAUCAAGGCUGAGGCGUGAUGACGAGGCACUACGGUGCUGAAGCAACAAAUGCCCUGCUUCCAGGAAAAGCCUCUAAGCAUCAGGUAACAUCAAAUCGUACCCCAAACCGACACAGGUGGUCAGGUAGAGAAUACCAAGGCGCUUGAGAGAACUCGGGUGAAGGAACUAGGCAAAAUGGUGCCGUAACUUCGGGAGAAGGCACGCUGAUAUGUAGGUGAAGUCCCUCGCGGAUGGAGCUGAAAUCAGUCGAAGAUACCAGCUGGCUGCAACUGUUUAUUAAAAACACAGCACUGUGCAAACACGAAAGUGGACGUAUACGGUGUGACGCCUGCCCGGUGCCGGAAGGUUAAUUGAUGGGGUUAGCGGUAACGCGAAGCUCUUGAUCGAAGCCCCGGUAAACGGCGGUACCGUAACUAUAACGGUCCUAAGGUAGCGAAAUUCCUUGUCGGGUAAGUUCCGACCUGCACGAAUGGCGUAAUGAUGGCCAGGCUGUCUCCACCCGAGACUCAGUGAAAUUGAACUCGCUGUGAAGAUGCAGUGUACCCGCGGCAAGACGGAAAGACCCCGUGAACCUUUACUAUAGCUUGACACUGAACAUUGAGCCUUGAUGUGUAGGAUAGGUGGGAGGCUUUGAAGUGUGGACGCCAGUCUGCAUGGAGCCGGCCUUGAAAUACCACCCUUUAAUGUUUGAUGUUCUAACGUUGGCCCCUGAUCGGGGUUGCGGACAGUGUCUGGUGGGUAGUUUGACUGGGGCGGUCUCCUCCUAAAGAGUAACGGAGGAGCACGAAGGUUGGCUAAUCCUGGUCGGACAUCAGGAGGUUAGUGCAAUGGCAUAAGCCAGCUUGACUGCGAGCGUGACGGCGCGAGCAGGUGCGAAAGCAGGUCAUAGUGAUCCGGUGGUUCUGAAUGGAAGGGCCAUCGCUCAACGGAUAAAAGGUACUCCGGGGAUAACAGGCUGAUACCGCCCAAGAGUUCAUAUCGACGGCGGUGUUUGGCACCUCGAUGUCGGCUCAUCACAUCCUGGGGCUGAAGUAGGUCCCAAGGGUAUGGCUGUUCGCCAUUUAAAGUGGUACGCGAGCUGGGUUUAGAACGUCGUGAGACAGUUCGGUCCCUAUCUCGCCGUGGGCGCUGGAGAACUGAGGGGGCUGCUCCUAGUACGAGAGGACCGGAGUGGACGCAUCACUGGUGUUCGGGUUGUCAUGCCAAUGGCACUGCCCGGUAGCUAAAUGCGGAAGAGAUAAGUGCUGAAAGCAUCUAAGCACGAAACUUGCCCCGAGAUGAGUUCUCCCUGACUCCUUGAGAGUCCUGAAGGAACGUUGAAGACGACGACGUUGAUAGGCCGGGUGUGUAAGCGCAGCGAUGCGUUGAGCUAACCGGUACUAAUGAACCGUGAGGCUUAACCUU